Ostrea edulis (European flat oyster) is the source of this 2413-nucleotide long non-coding RNA. RefSeq lists it as uncharacterized. The record is from RefSeq and is a predicted model, not a curated record. NCBI's taxonomy places the organism in Eukaryota, Metazoa, Mollusca, Bivalvia, Ostreida, Ostreidae. The transcript has 3 exons.
UUUAUGAUACAAUAACUAACCCUAGAAUAGAAUCGAUUCUUUAAGGCAAAAUCAUUUUUCGACUCUAUGUAUGAAUAUUAUACUUUGAUAUAAAUUUGUUCACUGAAUGAGAAACAUUUGAUAAAAACAUUCCAUCACCCUCUGAAAAAUAAAACCACGCCUCCUGGUCUGAUGGAGUGCAGCAGUGGUGAACACUACUUUACAUCGGGUGGUAUUGCAAAGGAAAAAAUUCAUAAGCAUUCGUUUUACCAUCGAAAACGUACGGUUUUUCAUUUACAGUUUUCCUAACAUUCAGUAUGAUAUAUAGCUUGCAUGCAUGUAAGAGAGAGUGGCAUUGGGAAUGGUUACCCAUCGAUAAACCAUUGCUCACCUCGUUUUGGCCUUGGUAUACCCUUGUUUUCUCAAGUUGAAAGUUCCCAAGGCUACCAUCACUUGCAUGUAAUAUUCGUACAUUGUGUAAAAUGUUGAAACAUAUGAUUGAAUGGAUAUAUAUAAUUUCAGUGUUUUCAUUUUCGUUGAAGUAAGUGUCAUUUAAAGUUUUAUAGUCCGAAUUUCGACGAUUUUUUGCCACCUUGUAACACCCCUGUUAAACCAUCGCAUGUACGUAUUGAUGAGGCUGUACCACACGUCAUACAUUAUUUCACCUGUUUUAACCAGAAUAUCAGUGUUUACAAACAACCGUCACUUGGCCAUUUCUAGUGAUAACUUUAAAAACUUAUCAAUCUGAUUUAAAGAAAUUCUGUACAUAAAUGAUACAUAAACAUCGGAUCAUACAGCUGUAACAAGAGCAGACUGUUUUGAUUUCUUUUAUAUAUUGCAAUAUAUUUGAAUUAGAGGUAUUUGUAGCAAAUUGUGUGUAUAACCUGCAUUAACAGUGAUAUUUUGAUGUUCUAAACGAUUAUAUCCUAGGUUUUACUUUAAGCGGUCUUGGUCCAUUCUUCAUCAUAUUUGGGUAUUUGAGAAAAAUGUGUAUUUCCUAAGCUAUAUUUAAAUGGCAUUGCAUCAUUUAUAUUUGUAUUUUGAUGCUUAAAAAAAGAAAUGGGAUUUUCUUUAGGUCUAUUUUAAACGGCCUUGGACCAUUCAUAGUCAAUAAAGCAGAUCACCUGCCCUUCCUGGUUUUUCGGUAGUUUACGUUUGAAACUGAAACUAACGACAACAGUAACCAGAAGUAUAUACCAGGUUAUUUGAUCACUACAAUCUACAGGAAGUACAGAUAUAAUUCUGCACUCGUUAAUCACUUAGACUGUAAUGGAAUCUCUCCUUUUGUGCUUCAAAUUUCUGCUGUGGAAAAAUUGUUUUUCACUAUAUUUUUGUCUUAUUAACAUCGUGAAUCAGAGACAUUUCCCGAGACCUGUCCUGUUAGAAAUUUAAAAUUCUGAAGCUUACUCGUGGCUUUGUCAUAUCUGUUUAGAAAUAUCAUCUGCUCAGCGUAUGACAUUUGAAUGUAGUUAAAUGAACAUUAUGCAAGUUGAUUAAACAGUCAAAACAACAAGAAUUCUAGUUUACAGGUGGUAUAGUUUUGUUAACUUCAUCUGACAUGACAGGUUAGUCAAUCAUUGACAAAAUGAACUCUGUCCGACUCUCCUCAGCUUCCAUUUCAGAGGUUUUGUCGAUUGAGGUUUUAGAUAAACAUGCCUGCCGUCCAUAUGUACACUAUAGCAUCAGGCAACUAUAUGUAAUAUUUUCAAAUUUGAGUUAUCCGUGUUUGUCUAACUCUUAUUUUGUAUCCUAAUAGGAGUUAUGAGAUGCUCACUGUUUUUUACCUUCACCUUUUCAUUAUGUAAGGUAGAAGAAGCAUUCCGUCCAAUAUGUGUUCUUACGAGUUGACUGACUAUGAUUCAUGAUUAAGAUGGGGAAUAUUCAAAGAAAGGGAGGUGCAAUGGGGCGGCACUCCGGAGUAGGGUACGUGUAUAUCAUCAAAGGCGGCUCAAAAUUUAAAGUAGGAUGUUCGAAGGAUCCGGCAAGAAGAGUAAGAGAAAUCAAAAGACUGAAACCAAAGGCCAAACUGUUCAAAGUAUUCAAGGCAAGGGAAAUGAAUAGGGCAGAGUCUGCUGCCCAACGAUCAAACAUUAGGAAAGGAAGCAAAAGGGCGAGGAAGGUUGCCACUGAUUGGUUUAUCAAAGACAAGAGAAAAUCUUAGAAAGCCAUAGCUAGAACGACAGGGAAUGCCGUUUACCGCCAUAACGGGAUUAUAAAAGCUCGAAGAUCAAGGAGAAAGUGAAACCAACAUAAACAAGGAACACUUAACCAGAGCACGCCAGUCCAUUACUAUGUUUACAACUUCCGGAUUGGACUCUUGUAAUGUUAAGAAUGAUAUUAAACACUGUACAUUUCAUCCUCCUGAAAAAAACCUUUCUUAUGUUACGGAGUUUUUCUACAGUGUGUUAAAAGCGCUAAUAAAAAGAGAAUCUUU